CCUCACUUGUGGGGGGAUUAGUGGCGAACGGGUGAGUAACACGUGAGUAACCUGCCCUUAACUCUGGGAUAAGCCUGGGAAACUGGGUCUAAUACCGGAUAUGACUCCUCAUCGCAUGGUGGGGGGUGGAAAGCUUUAUUGUGGUUUUGGAUGGACUCGCGGCCUAUCAGCUUGUUGGUGAGGUAAUGGCUCACCAAGGCGACGACGGGUAGCCGGCCUGAGAGGGUGACCGGCCACACUGGGACUGAGACACGGCCCAGACUCCUACGGGAGGCAGCAGUGGGGAAUAUUGCACAAUGGGCGAAAGCCUGAUGCAGCGACGCCGCGUGAGGGAUGACGGCCUUCGGGUUGUAAACCUCUUUCAGUAGGGAAGAAGCGAAAGUGACGGUACCUGCAGAAGAAGCGCCGGCUAACUACGUGCCAGCAGCCGCGGUAAUACGUAGGGCGCAAGCGUUAUCCGGAAUUAUUGGGCGUAAAGAGCUCGUAGGCGGUUUGUCGCGUCUGCCGUGAAAGUCCGGGGCUCAACUCCGGAUCUGCGGUGGGUACGGGCAGACUAGAGUGAUGUAGGGGAGACUGGAAUUCCUGGUGUAGCGGUGAAAUGCGCAGAUAUCAGGAGGAACACCGAUGGCGAAGGCAGGUCUCUGGGCAUUAACUGACGCUGAGGAGCGAAAGCAUGGGGAGCGAACAGGAUUAGAUACCCUGGUAGUCCAUGCCGUAAACGUUGGGCACUAGGUGUGGGGGACAUUCCACGUUUUCCGCGCCGUAGCUAACGCAUUAAGUGCCCCGCCUGGGGAGUACGGCCGCAAGGCUAAAACUCAAAGGAAUUGACGGGGGCCCGCACAAGCGGCGGAGCAUGCGGAUUAAUUCGAUGCAACGCGAAGAACCUUACCAAGGCUUGACAUGAACCGGAAAUACCUGGAAACAGGUGCCCCGCUUGCGGUCGGUUUACAGGUGGUGCAUGGUUGUCGUCAGCUCGUGUCGUGAGAUGUUGGGUUAAGUCCCGCAACGAGCGCAACCCUCGUUCUAUGUUGCCAGCGCGUUAUGGCGGGGACUCAUAGGAGACUGCCGGGGUCAACUCGGAGGAAGGUGGGGACGACGUCAAAUCAUCAUGCCCCUUAUGUCUUGGGCUUCACGCAUGCUACAAUGGCCGGUACAAAGGGUUGCGAUACUGUGAGGUGGAGCUAAUCCCAAAAAGCCGGUCUCAGUUCGGAUUGGGGUCUGCAACUCGACCCCAUGAAGUCGGAGUCGCUAGUAAUCGCAGAUCAGCAACGCUGCGGUGAAUACGUUCCCGGGCCUUGUACACACCGCCCGUCAAGUCACGAAAGUUGGUAACACCCGAAGCCGGUGGCCUAA
RNAcentral lists this ribosomal RNA (1353 nucleotides) under Pseudarthrobacter oxydans. Its description in RNAcentral is "bacterial SSU rRNA". It matches the Rfam family "Bacterial small subunit ribosomal RNA", at positions 74 to 1438 of the family's 1533-position model. The record is from RNAcentral. Lineage: Bacteria; Bacillati; Actinomycetota; Actinomycetes; Micrococcales; Micrococcaceae.